UUGAAGGUGAAGGGGUAACCCACGCUGGAGGUAUCAGAAGUGCGAAUGCUGACAUGAGUAACGAUAAAGGGGGUGAAAAACCCCCUCGCCGGAAGACCAAGGGUUCCUGUCCAACGUUAAUCGGGGCAGGGUGAGUCGACCCCUAAGGUGAGGCCGAAAGGCGUAAUCGAUGGGAAACAGAUUAAUAUUUCUGUACUUCCGCUAACUGCGAUGGAGAGACGGAGAAGGCUAGGCUAGCGCGGCGUUGGUAGUCCGCGUUUAAGGUGGUAGGUUGAUUUCUUAGGCAAAUCCGGGAAAUCGCACUUUAGUGUGCAGACUGAGAGCUGAUGACGAGGUCCUAAGGGACUGAAGUAGUUGAUGCCAUGCUUCCAGGAAAAUCUUCUAAGCUUCAGGUUAGUGGGAAUCGUACCCCAAACCGACACAGGUGGUCGGGUAGAGAAUACCAAGGCGCUUGAGAGAACUCGGCUGAAGGAACUAGGCAAAAUGGUACCGUAACUUCGGGAGAAGGUACGCUCCUGUUGGUGAUGAGACUUGCUCUCUAAGCUGACGGGAGUCGCAGAUACCAGGUGGCUGCAACUGUUUAUCAAAAACACAGCACUGUGCAAACUCGCAAGAGGAAGUAUACGGUGUGACGCCUGCCCGGUGCCGGAAGGUUAAUUGAUUGGGUUAUCGCAAGAGAAGCUCAUGAUCGAAGCCCCGGUAAACGGCGGCCGUAACUAUAACGGUCCUAAGGUAGCGAAAUUCCUUGUCGGGUAAGUUCCGACCUGCACGAAUGGCGUAAUGAUGGCCACGCUGUCUCCAGCCGAGACUCAGUGAAGUUGAAAUUGCGGUGAAGAUGCCGUAUACCCGCGGCUAGACGGAAAGACCCCGUGAACCUUUACUAUAGCUUGGCACUGAACAUUGAACCUACAUGUGUAGGAUAGGUGGGAGACUAUGAAGUUGUGACGCUAGUCAUGAUGGAGUCGUCCUUGAAAUACCACCCUUGUAGUUUUGAUGUUCUAACCGCGGCCCCUUAUCGGGGUUCGGGACAGUGCCUGGUGGGUAGUUUGACUGGGGCGGUCUCCUCCCAAAGAGUAACGGAGGAGCACGAAGGUUGGCUAAGUACGGUCGGACAUCGUACGGUUAGUGCAAUGGCAUAAGCCAGCUUAACUGCGAGACAUACACGUCGAGCAGGUACGAAAGUAGGUCAUAGUGAUCCGGUGGUUCUGAAUGGAAGGGCCAUCGCUCAACGGAUAAAAGGUACUCCGGGGAUAACAGGCUGAUACCGCCCAAGAGUUCAUAUCGACGGCGGUGUUUGGCACCUCGAUGUCGGCUCAUCACAUCCUGGGGCUGAAGUCGGUCCCAAGGGUAUGGCUGUUCGCCAUUUAAAGUGGUACGCGAGCUGGGUUCAGAACGUCGUGAGACAGUUCGGUCCCUAUCUGCCGUGGGCGUUGGAUGAUUGAAGGGAGCUGCUCCUAGUACGAGAGGACCGGAGUGGACGAACCGCUGGUGUUCGGGUUGUCAUGCCAAUGGCAUUGCCCGGUAGCUACGUUCGGAAUCGAUAACCGCUGAAAGCAUCUAAGCGGGAAGCGAGCCCUGAGAUGAGUCAUCCCUAGGAAUUUAAUUCCUCUAAAGAGCCGUUCGAGACUAGGACGUUGAUAGGCAUGGUGUGUAAGCGUUGUGAGGCGUUGAGCUAACAUGUACUAAUGACUCGAGAGGCUUAACCA
RNAcentral lists this ribosomal RNA (1706 nucleotides) under Shewanella morhuae. RNAcentral's name for it is "bacterial LSU rRNA". It matches the Rfam family "Bacterial large subunit ribosomal RNA", at positions 1250 to 2925 of the family's 2925-position model. The record is from RNAcentral. Lineage: Bacteria; Pseudomonadati; Pseudomonadota; Gammaproteobacteria; Alteromonadales; Shewanellaceae.